UGGCGGACGGGUGAGUAACGCGUGGAUAACCUGCCGUAUACUGGGGGAUAACACUUAGAAAUAGGUGCUAAUACCGCAUAAGCGCACAGUCUCGCAGGAGACGGUGUGAAAAACUCCGGUGGUAUACGAUGGAUCCGCGUCUGAUUAGCUUGUUGGCGGGGUAACAGCCCACCAAGGCGACGAUCAGUAGCCGGCCUGAGAGGGUGAACGGCCACAUUGGGACUGAGACACGGCCCAAACUCCUACGGGAGGCAGCAG
This 258-nucleotide ribosomal RNA is filed under the name uncultured bacterium. RNAcentral describes it as "partial 16S ribosomal RNA". It matches the Rfam family "Bacterial small subunit ribosomal RNA", at positions 96 to 354 of the family's 1533-position model. The record is from RNAcentral.